Molecule: ribosomal RNA, 489 nt
Filed under: uncultured bacterium
Lineage: Bacteria
Description: partial 16S ribosomal RNA
Rfam family: Bacterial small subunit ribosomal RNA
Source: RNAcentral
GACGAACGCUGGCGGCGUGCUUAACACAUGCAAGUCGAACGGAAAGGCCCCCACCUUGGUGGGGGUGCUCGAGUGGCGAACGGGUGAGUAACACGUGGGGGAUCUGCCCUGUACUUCGGGAUAAGCUUGGGAAACUGGGUCUAAUACCGGAUAGGACCAUGGGUUAGUGUCUUAUGGUGGAAAAAUUAUUGUUUUGGUGCAGGAUGAGCUCGCGGCCUAUCAGCUUGUUGGUGGGGUAAUGGCCUACCAAGGCGUCGACGGGUAGCCGGCCUGAGAGGGUGGACGGCCACAUUGGGACUGAGAUACGGCCCAGACUCCUACGGGAGGCAGCGGUGGGGAAUAUUGCACAAUGGGCGAAAGCCUGAUGCAGCGACGCCGCGUGGGGGAUGACGGCCUUCGGGUUGUAAACUCCUUUCGUUAGGGACGAAGCCACACCUUUUUUGGGUGUGGUGACGGUACCUUUGUUAAGAAGCACCGGCUAACUACGUG